Trichomycterus rosablanca is the source of this 1836-nucleotide long non-coding RNA. RefSeq lists it as uncharacterized. The transcript has 2 exons. The record is from RefSeq and is a predicted model, not a curated record. Lineage: Eukaryota; Metazoa; Chordata; Actinopteri; Siluriformes; Trichomycteridae.
UCGUCGACAAACAAGACACACACAGAUGAGAGUUAUUGAGUAAUCUCGUCAGAGGGUGGCGUUAGCCCACUGAAAGCACUACUUGUACUGAACAGAAGCGAAAACAUCUAGCCGAAGCCCUGCAAUGGAUUGACACCCUGUCCAGAGUGUUCCUGCAUUGCGCGCCCAGUGAUUCUCAGAACCUGAGCCCACCAGAAGCCCUAACAAGGAUGAAGUGGUUGAUGAUAAUGGAAACGCAUUUGCCAAACCUAGAUCUGAAUAUGAUUUUGAGAACUGGUAAAGGACUUUAUAACACAAGGUCCCAUUGAUCCAGAGUCCAAUAGCAGUGUGCUUUACACUACACAACCAACAGCCCUGCAAAAGUUAUUUAGUAGUUUGUGAUUCUUUCCACCCUUUUUUCUAAUCUUGUAACUUUGAACUCACUACAAUUGCCCUGCCACUUGUAUCCCACCAUCGCCAAGCAGGGUCAAAGACUAGCAUCCUUUCUUCCAACACAUGUGAAGUCGACGGCCACUUCUUUACACCAGCCAGCAGUGGAUUCUCGCAUGCAGCCAUACCACAUACAGAGAGCUCCACUUCUUAUGCUGCACCUUAUCCAACCCUGUUCUACCUCCCUUACCCUAGACAUGCUCAAUUGUGUCUGUGGUUGUUUGACCAGGCUGGUAGCACCACUGACAACCAAACAUGAGAGCUUGAACUCUCCACAUUGGUGGGCAAGUGAAUUAGACUGCUGUGCUACCCAGGUAGCAACAACCAGGUUAUUUACUGCUUAAACAUACUGCUUAACCCAACAAACACACAGAUGAGCUGUUGUUGCUCCUAGAGAUAUACUUUCUUUAAGCAUUUUCUCCCCUUUUUCUCACCCUUUUUAGCGCGUCCAAUUGCCCGAUUGCGCCAUGCUUCCUCUCCACCAAUGCCAGAGAACGAAGCUAACCCACGCCCCCUCCGACACUUGGGCAGCAUGCCGUAUGAAUCUUAUCACCUACACUUUGACGAGUGCAGUGCAGCUCAGCGUUGUGUAUGGAGAGACACACUCUGAGAGCACUCUUUUGUCAUCUUUGUGUAGGCGCCAUCAAUCAGCCAGCAGAGGUCGUAAUUGCACCAGUCAUGAGAGAGAGACCCUAUCCGGCUUAGUCCCGAACGACAGGCCAAUCGUUGAUCAUGUGGCCACUCAGCCUUAGCCGGCAGGCAGAGCUGAGAUUCGAUACGAUGUAUUCGAGAUCCCAGCUCUGGUUCCAGCGUGUGUUUUUACCGCUGCACCACCUGAGCGGCCGCUCCUAGAGAUUUUUUGUUUGACUUUUUUUUCAUAACAGUGCAACACAGCAAAACGGUGAUCUGUUUCGUUUAAACCAUUCCCCCACCACCAUCUGUUGUUGUGUCUUCCGAAUUAACCAAAUAACAAUUUCAUAUGUAAUUAAACUCAAUCUGUCCAAUUUGAUCUGUAAUUGUUGUAUAUCUUAGAUAGCUCCUUGUAACAAUAACCAGUCUCUUGGAAUGUUUGUACAAAAAUAGCUUUUUCCUGCUAAAAGGAGAGCAAAAAUCACAUGAGAUUCCAAAGACAGACCACCAGCUGACCGCAUAGCUGACUCGGCCAGAGACGAGACUGACAUGACAAGGCUGUGGAAAGCAUCCCUAAAAAUACAGACCAGAAGCAGACGCUCCCAUAUUUCAGUCUGCUGUUUAACCCGUAACUUUGAAAUAGCUUUAUCUGACUCACGUACGUACUUUUAUAAUAACUGUGAGAGUUUUUCUUCAAUCUACAACCCCAAAUCAGAAAAAAGCUGGGAGAGUAUGGAAAAUGCAAAUAAAAUAAAAAUGCAGAGUUUCUUACAUUUA